Molecule: long non-coding RNA, 261 nt
Filed under: Glycine max (soybean)
Lineage: Eukaryota; Viridiplantae; Streptophyta; Magnoliopsida; Fabales; Fabaceae
Description: long non-coding RNA (GMAX_LNC002623)
Source: RNAcentral
UGACUUGUUUCCUCUUUGCAGCAUGUAUAUUGGCAUGAUCUUUGUGAGGUAUAUUUAGUCUGUAACCAUCUUCUCCUUUUGGGUAUAAAAGUGGAUAUUGCAAAGGCAAAUAUGCAGGAUGAAGUUCAUGUAUUCUCUUCAGAAGUCCGGACUGUUUUUCUAUUAUAAUAUCUCUUUUAUCAGCUGAGUGUUCAUCACCAACAAUCAAGGCAGCAACUUCAGUGGUAGUUGGUAAGUUAUACAACCUUCCGUCUGUUUGUC